CCGAACUCCCCCAGGGCAGGAAUGCAGCAAGGGUAGGAGAGCUCUUCCAGGUACGCGGGGUGUCCCUUGCCC
RNAcentral lists this signal recognition particle RNA (72 nucleotides) under Micrococcales bacterium. RNAcentral's name for it is "partial signal recognition particle sRNA small type". It matches the Rfam family "Bacterial small signal recognition particle RNA", at positions 27 to 97 of the family's 97-position model. Rfam says of the family: The signal recognition particle (SRP) is a universally conserved ribonucleoprotein involved in the co-translational targeting of proteins to membranes. Lineage: Bacteria; Bacillati; Actinomycetota; Actinomycetes; Micrococcales. The record is from RNAcentral.